This 357-nucleotide ribosomal RNA is filed under the name uncultured bacterium. Its description in RNAcentral is "partial 16S ribosomal RNA". The stretch from base 73 to 357 matches the Rfam family "Bacterial small subunit ribosomal RNA", at positions 1 to 301 of the family's 1533-position model. The record is from RNAcentral.
ACAGCUAGAGUUUGAUCAUGGCUCAGGAUAAACGCUGGCGGCGUGCCUUAUGCAUGCAAGUCUUCACACCGGGACAGCUAGAGUUUGAUCAUGGCUCAGGACGAACGCUGGCGGCGUGCUUAACACAUGCAAGUCGAGCGAGACUUCGGUCUAGCGGCGAACGGGUGAGUAACACGUGGGCAACCUGCCCCGAGCUCUGGGAUAACUCCGGGAAACCGGGGCUAAUACCGGAUACGACCCGAGAAGACAUCUUCUCGGGUGGAAAGUUUUUCGGCUCGGGAUGGGCCCGCGGCCUAUCAGCUUGUUGGUGGGGUAACGGCCUACCAAGGCGACGACGGGUAGCCGGCCUGAGAGGGC